This is a non-coding RNA of Trichobilharzia regenti, 46 nucleotides long. The record is from Rfam. Lineage: Eukaryota; Metazoa; Platyhelminthes; Trematoda; Strigeidida; Schistosomatidae.
GUUCUCUUGAAGAGUCCCAAACUAGGACGAAACAGCUGUCCAGUAC